This 76-nucleotide transfer RNA is filed under the name Synergistaceae bacterium OttesenSCG-928-D05. Its description in RNAcentral is "tRNA-Lys". It matches the Rfam family "tRNA". From Rfam's summary of the family: Transfer RNA (tRNA) molecules are approximately 80 nucleotides in length. Their secondary structure includes four short double-helical elements and three loops (D, anti-codon, and T loops). Lineage: Bacteria; Thermotogati; Synergistota; Synergistia; Synergistales; Synergistaceae. The record is from RNAcentral.
GAGCUGUUAGCUCAGUUGGUAGAGCACCGGACUUUUAAUCCGGGUGUCCCGGGUUCGAGUCCCGGACGGCUCACCA